UACAGAGGUCCCAAGCGUUGUUCGGAUUUACUGGGCGUAAAGGGUGCGUAGGCGGUCGUGCAAGUCGGAUGUGAAAUCUCAGGGCUCGACCCUGAAACUGCAUUCGAUACUGCGUGGCUAGAGUGCUGGAGAGGAGACUGGAAUUUACGGUGUAGCAGUGAAAUGCGUAGAUAUCGUAAGGAAGACCAGUGGCGAAGGCGAGUCUCUGGACAGCAACUGACGCUGAGGCACGAAGGCCAGGGGAGCAAACGGG
This 253-nucleotide ribosomal RNA is filed under the name uncultured bacterium. RNAcentral's name for it is "partial 16S ribosomal RNA". It matches the Rfam family "Bacterial small subunit ribosomal RNA", at positions 524 to 776 of the family's 1533-position model. The record is from RNAcentral.